Molecule: long non-coding RNA, 542 nt
Organism: Papilio xuthus (Asian swallowtail)
Lineage: Eukaryota; Metazoa; Arthropoda; Insecta; Lepidoptera; Papilionidae
Exons: 4
Source: RefSeq, a predicted model, not a curated record
UAUAAUGUUCAUCCUACGUAAUACAAUAUGACCAUCCUUUAUGAAAUUAUUAAUUUUUAUAGGAGACAAGCCUACACAUAUGCUAUACGAAUGCUGUCAAGGACUGUUUGCGGCAUUUUUCCAUAAUCUACACAUUAAUAUGCCAUUGUACACCCCGUUGUUACUUUCGACCAUGACACGGCUGCCCAACUGAGCAGAAUCUUCACCGGACUACAAUUACUUAAGUUGGGAAAUAAGUUGACAAUAAAGUGCCUAAAGUAUUUAUGGCGCGAACUAGCACGUGCUGUCAUAGCACUGCCUGUCCUACAAACAUGGUGCGAGACGCCGUUUGCUUCCCGUUUCGCCGCCAACUGCAUUUUUCGCACUUCAAUCAUCGCACGCGCAUUUUGUCAACCGAACUAUUUUCGAACUUCCACAUAAUAAUUUAGCAUUAUUGUUAACAAAUUAUUUAUGAAAUUAGCGAGUAAAUAUUGGCAGACGCCACCGAUGGUCCGCCUUCUUACGAAGACACGACGAGAUUGAGGCGAGUAUGGGACCAACCA